RNAcentral lists this ribosomal RNA (974 nucleotides) under human gut metagenome. RNAcentral describes it as "bacterial LSU rRNA". It matches the Rfam family "Bacterial large subunit ribosomal RNA", at positions 1942 to 2925 of the family's 2925-position model. The record is from RNAcentral.
AUAACGGUCCUAAGGUAGCGAAAUUCCUUGUCGGGUAAGUUCCGACCUGCACGAAAGGCGCAACGAAUUGGGCGCUGUCUCGACCAUGGACCCGGUGAAAUUCCACUAGUCGUGAAGAUGCGACUUACCCGCGGAAGGACGGAAAGACCCCGUGAACCUUCACUGCAGCUUGGCAUUGGCCGCUGGCCCGUCGCGUAGAGGAUAGGCGGGAGGCUUCGAAGCCCGGGCGCCAGCCCGGGUGGAGCCGACCUUGGAAUACCGCCCUCGGCGCGCCGGCGUCCUAACCCCAUGCCGUCAUCCGGAUGGGGGACCGUGCCAGGUGGGUAGUUUGACUGGGGCGGUCGCCUCCUAAAGGGUAACGGAGGCGCGCGAAGGUCCGCUCGGGACGGUCGGCAACCGUCCUCUUGAGUGCAAGAGCAUAAGCGGGCUUGACUGCGAGGCCUACAAGCCGAGCAGGUGCGAAAGCAGGCUCUAGUGAUCCGGCGGCCCCGCGUGGGUGGGCCGUCGCUCAACGGAUAAAAGGUACUCCGGGGAUAACAGGCUGAUCUUGCCCAAGAGUCCACAUCGACGGCAAGGUUUGGCACCUCGAUGUCGGCUCAUCGCAUCCUGGGGCUGUAGCAGGUCCCAAGGGUUGGGCUGUUCGCCCAUUAAAGCGGUACGCGAGCUGGGUUCAGAACGUCGUGAGACAGUUCGGUCCCUAUCCUCCGCGGGCGCAGGAGAAUCGAGGGAGGCUGCCCCUAGUACGAGAGGACCGGGGUGGACGCACCUCUGGUGAACCGGUUGUCGACCAACGGCACGGCCGGGUAGCCACGUGCGGCGCGGAUAACCGCUGAAGGCAUCUAAGCGGGAAGCCGUUCCCGAGAUCAGUUCUCCUUUCGGUAAGGGCCCAGGUAGACUACCUGGUCGAUAGGCCGCAGGUGCAAGCACGGCGACGUGCUCAGCCGAGCGGUACUAAUAGCCCGAGCUCUUACCCG